GACGAACGCUGGCGGCGUGCCUAAUACAUGCAAGUAGGACGCAGUUGCGAACGGGUGAGUAACGCGUAGGUAACUGCCUAUUAGAGGGGGAUAACUAUUGGAAACGAUAGCUAAUACCGCAUACUAGUAGAUGGACCUGCGUUGUAUUAGCUAGUCAGUAGGGUAAUGGCCUACCUAGGCGAAGAUACAUAGCCGACGCGAGAGGGGGAGCGGCCAACAUGGGAAUGGGACAAGGGCCAGAACCCCACGGGAGGCAGCAGUAGGGAAUCCUCGGGAAUUGGGGGAAAGCUGACCGAGCAACGCCGCGGGAGGUAAGGAGGUUUUCGGAGCGGAAAGCUCUGUUGUUAAGGAAGCGGUACUUAACCAGAAAGGGACGGCUAACUACGUGCCAGCAGCCGCGGUAAUAC
Molecule: ribosomal RNA, 407 nt
Filed under: uncultured bacterium
Lineage: Bacteria
Description: partial 16S ribosomal RNA
Rfam family: Bacterial small subunit ribosomal RNA
Source: RNAcentral